This 325-nucleotide long non-coding RNA is filed under the name Bos taurus (domestic cattle). RNAcentral's name for it is "long non-coding RNA NONBTAT018174". Lineage: Eukaryota; Metazoa; Chordata; Mammalia; Artiodactyla; Bovidae. The record is from RNAcentral.
GGCUCUCUGAUCAUACUUUGAGGAAAGGCUUAUUACUUCAUUUGUGUCUUUUAAAAAUCAGAGUGAGAGUUAUGUGGACAUGUCAUUAGGAUAUUUAACCCUUGGUUAUUCUAUAAGCAAAAGGAUAGCUCCAGGAAGACAAUUUCUAAGGAUUUAAGUGGAUGAUAGUCAUGUUGACAUUUUUAUUAGCAGAUGAAACCUAGAAAAGGUUUUGUUAAUUUUGGUGACUGUGACUGAACCUGUCUUGUAAAUUGCUAAAACUUCCCGAGCCAUACAUCUAGUUGAAUUGUUAGUCUGUCUCUUGGAUAACCCUCUUUCUUGCUAA